Molecule: long non-coding RNA, 1249 nt
Filed under: Chrysolophus pictus (golden pheasant)
Lineage: Eukaryota; Metazoa; Chordata; Aves; Galliformes; Phasianidae
Description: lncRNA (ENSCPIG00010003525.1)
Source: RNAcentral
UGGAGGAGGAGGUUCCACAAGAUAAUUGCGAAGCUAAGCAACAAGUCACUUGGGAGGUUUGCGUGUCCUUCUUUGCAGAAGCUCUAUUUCAGUUUUCCAGUUGUUCAUGAGACAGUGAAAAUGAACUGCCGAUUCAACACAUCACUCACGGGCUGUCUGAAAGGAGUAGGAACCCCUAAACCAAAAACUACUGGGUUUUUGAAAGACAUAAGAUACAAAUAGAAAUAAAAUCCACUGGUUAUGAAGGGCAGUUGAAAAAGGCAGCCUUAGCUAUAACCUUCACGCAAGCCUGCAAAACUUCAACACUGGCCAUACAACAUAGCUCAUCUUUUUACAGGACUGAAAAACUAUGUUCAAGUCUAAGAAAGUCUACACUGAAAUCCAGGUGCAAAAGAAGUGCAUGAAACAAGGAGCUAAUUUUCUGAAAUGUUCCCACACCUUUUUUUUUUGUUUGUUUCGACUGUUGGUGGAAAAUGCUGUGAGAUUGCCCUGUAAGCCUCGAGAAGCUUCUCAAAGGGAAAAGCUAACACUGACCAGCUGUGGACAUCCUCCCUGCCUCAACCCUUUCUCCAUUACGUACUUCCCAUCUUCUGAAAGACUGAUUCCUGCCUGGUGCCUCCUGCAGAGCCUGGCACCGGGACUAGGAGCUGCCAUUCCAGCACCACUCCCUAGAGUGCUGGCUUCCCAGGAGACCAGACUGAAGGGGAGGUUUGAAGUCCCUCCACACGACACUCCUCCACUGUUCCUUAAAGUACCUCCUGCUGGAACUGAAGUAUCUAUAAGCUUUUUAAUAGACGGCACUCCUGAAUCUUCCUUUCUGGUGAUUCCUGCUUGGUGAUUACUGCUGGGAGACUGUGAGGUAUCAAAGAAUUACAGCAAUUAAAGUUGCAGAGACCUAUGGUAUUUAAUCAUUCCCUCCAUCCUCCCUCCUGAGUAUGGGUAUUCCUUACGCUUUUUUUUCCUGACGUUCUACUUAGUCUAACUUGAAAGCGUGUCAAAUAGCUGGGCAUUCUCUACUUCCCUGGGGAGGUUAUCUCACUGUGACAUGUCGUGAGGCUGGACGUUAACCAAAGUAUUCAGUGUAAUUUUACUUCUUUGAACUUAGUUUUCAGGAUCCCCACAAUGCCAAGCAAUUUGUUUUUUUUCUAGAGUCUGGAAUUGCACCGGUUCUGUUUUCCUCACAUUCAUGGCUCUAGCAUGAUAUUUAACAAUGACAUGCACUGAAAAAAAAGUACCUAUAAUAUUUGCA